AUUCUGAUGGGGAAAGAGAUAAUGAGGCCUUCUUUCUUUCUUUAUUUUUACAGACACAAAUUUUGAUUCUUUAUUUUAAAUGAAAGAACCCAGAUAUGUCUUUUCUGAAUGACCUGUGAAACUACUCCUCAUUAUACCCUAACGUACUGUCAUUCCUCUUUUGAUCUUUGUGGCCCAAAUGACACUGCCAGGUACCAUGUUCUAAACAAACUGGCCUGCCAAGCCUUUCCCUGAUCUCAUCCUGCCCUCUCUCCAGUCUCUGUGCAUCUCCACAAACCAUUCUUCAGACUCAACAGAUGUGAUGGACUCCCUCCUCAUCGCUGCCUCUCUUCCUUCAAGCAUUGACAUUCCACCUUGGAGAGAGUGCUCAGAGAGUUGGCCUCAAAUACAAGAAGACCUGGGUUUAAGUCCCACCUCUGCCAUGUCCUGGCUUUGUAACUCUGGCUCCUGCUCUGGCUCCUGCUCCUGGUCUCCCUCUUGCUCACCUGGCCCAGCUGAUCCUGACCCGCCAGCAACUCUGACCUCUGACCCAGAUGGCUCAUCGCCCCAGGACCAGCUUCAUGACCCAGCCUGCUGGCAGCAGACCCAAUUUCUUCAGGAUAAAAAAAAAAAAACAGUUGGUAAAAAAAAUGGGGGUGAUUUUUCCUUAGGCUAUGAUUAGCCUCCACUGUUGCAAGGGGCAGGGGGCAUGGGGGGGGGGGGAGAAAGAGGGAAAGAAGGAAGAGAUUUUUCCAAACAGAAACUUACAAGCAUGGGGUAUUUAAAAGGAUAUCUUUUGACUGUAUUGAUUCUUUCACUUAACUCACCUGGAAGUCAGGAGAGAAUUUCAACUCCCUGCAAUUCUUGGGUCAAAUAUGAGAUUCCCAAAACCCACCCUCACUAUGGGAAGGCAGCUCAGAGGCUCAGUGGCUCAGUGAAUUGAGAGCCAGGCCUAGAGAUGGGAGGUCCUUGGUUGAAAUCUGGCCUCAAAGACUUCCUGGUGGUGUGGCCCUGGGCAGUCAUUUAACCCCCAUUGCCUACCCCUUAUCAAUCUUCUGCCUUCUGACAAUAGGCAUCUAAAUGGAUAAUUUAAGAAAACAAAAAACCCAAGGAACUUUAAA
RNAcentral lists this long non-coding RNA (1100 nucleotides) under Monodelphis domestica (gray short-tailed opossum). RNAcentral's name for it is "lncRNA (ENSMODG00000033131.2)". Lineage: Eukaryota; Metazoa; Chordata; Mammalia; Didelphimorphia; Didelphidae. The record is from RNAcentral.